This is a long non-coding RNA of Papaver somniferum (opium poppy), 3077 nucleotides long. RefSeq lists it as uncharacterized. The record is from RefSeq and is a predicted model, not a curated record. Lineage: Eukaryota; Viridiplantae; Streptophyta; Magnoliopsida; Ranunculales; Papaveraceae. The transcript is spliced from 5 exons.
CUUUCUUCUUCGAACCGAUAGAGGAGAUGGAGAUGAAGAAAGAGCAGAGAAGUUAGGGUUUGUGUUGAAAUUGAAGAAUCAUAGUAUGGGUUUCUAUCUCAGAGAAAGAAAGGUGUUGGUUAUGAAACCUUGAGUUGGUCAAUUCCAGUUGGGAUUUGAGAAUAAUCGAAAAGGGGAUUUUGGGUGUUCUUGUUUUGAGAUUGAAGCUUCCAGUGUGUAGAUUGCCGACAGCUUGGGAGACCUUUGCUCAAAAAAAAGGGUAUUAAGAACCGCAAGAAAGACAAGGUUGUCUAUGAUGAACAGACUCAUUCAUGGAAGCGUCGCCAUUGUUAUGAUCGUGUGAAUGAUGAUAAAGAUGUUCCCAUUAUCGAUUCCAAGAUGGCUGAUGAUUGGUCAAACAUUUCGGUAUAAUGUCAAUUCACCGUUGGAACCAAAACUAAAAAGCUGGUUAUGAUAUUGUCCCUUGAGCUCAGUUCAGAACCAAGAUAGAGAGUAAGAAGUGAGAAAUUACUUCAAUGCUUGUGAAGCUUCUGCAUCGAGAUGGUUCAUCCAACCAAUUCCCCUUGUUUUGUCGCUAUAUUCCCUUUCUUGCGGGUACUGGAAUAUCAUUUCAUUUUUCUUUUAAUUUAAGUCCUACUAUGGUUAUACACACUUGUUAUACUGAUCUGAUAGGAUUACUAACUUGUUUCCUGCUAGCUACUGUAAUAUGUAUUACUUAGUAGUGAAAUAAGAUUAUUAUUAUUUUAUUUUCACCGUAAUCCAGAAGCAUUCUAUCAUAGAUUACCGGCAGAAUCUCUAGCAUGUGAAUGGGAAGUUGUUCAGGGUCCUAAUGAAGCAUGUUGGAUUAUAGAAGUGAGCAAAACUCAAAUGACACCUACUUUGAGGAAGGCUGGGAAAUAUUUGUGCGAGACACUGGCUUAAGAAAAUAUGAUUUCUUAGUUUUUAGGCUUGAUGGUGGGAUGCGGUUUCAUGUUAAGGUUUUCCACUCAUCAUCAUGCCUAAAAACUAGGAAAUAAUACUUUCUAAGAAGGUAGGGAAGAUAAAUUGGAUGUCUAGCAACAAAAUGAAGAAUGUCUCAGUUGGGAGGUUCUUGUCAGACCAUUAAGUGUAUCAAUACAUGUUCUGUGCAGGCUGGAAAGACUUUGCCAUCAGCUAUAAGCUGAUAAUUGGUGACUGUGUGAUAUUCGAACUUGUUGAUUCCAGUUCCUGUUCCUUCUCUAGUUCCGCGCAAGAAAAUAAUGGAGCACAAGAAGAAUAUCUCGCUAGUUUACCUUCUUCGUCGCUUGCACAAGAAAUAAAGAAACGUGGAAGGCUAUGUGAAAUUUCAACGGUAAAAAAGGGAGGCUCACGGAAGCAGGAUUGUGCAUGGAGUUGUUCAAAAAACAGUAUUUUAAGGAUACAUGUGAUUAGUGAAGAGUGCAGUGCACAGUUUUUCCGUGAUUUUGAGCAGUAUUAGAGAGACAGUAUGAGAUCUGUCUUAGUCAAUUGAGCUGUGAACUGAUGGUGAAGGCUGUAAUUGAUACUGCUAAAAUGGAGAUGGAUUGUGGCUGGUGACUGACAUGUUGCAGUUGUAGUUUGGUGCCUGAGAUAGAAGUGGUGUUACAGAUGCUCAUGGUAGUGAUGCUGUGUUGGCUCAAGAAUGGUUAUAUGAAUGCCUAGGUUUCAAAUACAAAUUGCAGGUGUCGGAAGGUUGGUGGUUAUGAGCUAUUGAAUGCAAUGAGAUGGAACAUGGUGCGCUGAGAGCUUCAGAGAAUGGAAGAUGAAUUGCAUUUGAACUGGUGUUGUGGUAUUUUGAGUUAGGAUUAGAAGGCAGAUUGCAAGGAGUACAGCUGGUAUUGAAGCUGCAAUUGGAGAUUGAAUUGUGGAGUUUGAACUGAGAGGGUUGCUGCUGGUAUGAGUGAGCUGUAGCUGAAGUAACAACAGUUAGAAGAAUGUGGCAUUGCUGAAAUGAAAACCUAAUGUAGAUGAAUGUUUAGGACAGGAAUGAGUUGAUGGAUGACUGCAAUGAGCAGUUGAUGGUGGUACUGAAGUGAUGAGCAUUUGGAACUGAAAUGGUUGGCUUGAAUAAGCUGUUGUUGUCCAGGUGAAAUGGAUGGUGAUAAUGUUGCAGUUAUGGACUGGUUCUAGCAGGGAUCUGAGGCUGUUGAAGGCAAGGAAAUGAUUAUGCAACAGAGAAGAGUAAGAAAUGGCAGCAGUUUUGUGUUGGUGGUUCUGGUGGUGAGUUGAGAUGAGCUCAUUCUUGAGCUGAAGCUACAGGUGUGGAUUGAAAUAACAGGAUGAGGUGUUGCUGGUGAUGUGAACUAUGGCAGAGAUGAAUGAAUGCUCGAUAGUUUAGAUAAAUGCAAGGUGCGCAAGAAGCAGCUGAGGCUGGCAAUGGAGAUAAGAUGAACUUGCUAUUUUGUGGAACUGCAGGUGGUAAUUGUAGUAGAAAAGGAGUUAUGGCUGGUACUAGUGAAUUGAUGUUGCUUUGAAUGGACAGAGAAGGAAGUGGCGGUGGUUCCAGAUGGUUGUGAAUAUUGCAGGAAGGUAUUGAGUAAAUGGCUUGAGCAGAACCUGUUAAUGCCUGAAAUUGCACCGUCAGUCCUAUUGAACUGACAGUUGAAACGAUUCAACUCACUGACUCGGUGAAGUGAUCCAGUUAACGGUAACGUCAGCAUUGGCCGUUAAUUUUGACGCUUGACCAUUAGGUCUGAUAGGUGGCCGGUUUGAAUUUGCCGGUCACCUGAGCUACUUUCCGUGUGACUUCGCCAGUCGAUUUCUGUCCAUUUCCCGGUCAACUUUUGGACUUCCGGAAAGACUCUUCAGCAGAAUUUUUGGUAUCGGUUUUUCUUCUUAUUGAAGUCUCUGUUUGCACAUCUUUGUACGAAUUUGCACGUGUUGUAUUUAGUACUCCAGGAAUGUUUGGAGGAGGACAACUACAUCAUCUCUUUAAUGGUUGAAUGUUUGGAGAAGGACAACUAAAUAAUCUCUUCUAGUGGUAGCAAUUUUCUUGGAUCUGUACGGGUUUGGGAAGAUUAGCGUUUGCCGACGUACAACGCACGUGUAGUCCACUUGUCGACUUAAUUCAAUUUGUUUUA